GCCUACGGCCAUACCAGUCUGAAAGUGCCUUUUCUCGUCAGAUCUCAGAAGUCAUGCAGACUUGGGCAUGCUUAGUACUUGUAUGGGAUACCAAUUAGGAACAUCAGAUGCUGUAAGCU
RNAcentral lists this ribosomal RNA (119 nucleotides) under Pelobates cultripes (western spadefoot toad). Lineage: Eukaryota; Metazoa; Chordata; Amphibia; Anura; Pelobatidae. The record is from RNAcentral.